Molecule: long non-coding RNA, 1031 nt
Organism: Peromyscus californicus insignis
Lineage: Eukaryota; Metazoa; Chordata; Mammalia; Rodentia; Cricetidae
Exons: 4
Source: RefSeq, a predicted model, not a curated record
CGGGGGUCUCGUUCACCUCCAGCAGCAGCUCCUCGGAUACCAACUUGCUGCCGCUUUCAUAGGCCACCUUGCCCGGCUUCACCUCCCCCAGAUGUAGAACUCUCAGCUGUUCUCCAGCAUCAUGUCUGCCUGAACAUUGCCAUGCUUCCUGCCAUGACAAUACUGGACUAAACCUCUGAAACUCUCCUCACUUCUCCCUCCUCAAGAGUACCCUGGGAAAAAAGAAGGAGCUGGUCUCCCUCACCAAGGUCAAAUGCAAGUCUAUUACCCAAGCGUGAAGACCAGUUGACUACCUUGAAGAAGAUGGUGGUUUUAAAGUAGUCUUUCCACAAUACCCCCAUGCAUUGCAGCCCCAGCUGCAGGUCAGCAGGCAAGACUCCUGCAAGCAGGCCUAACUACCACCACCCGACAUGGGACCCUGUAAUGUACAAGUCACACUCUGUCCCCCAAAACCUGCCCAUCCCCCAACAACACAACUGUUCCUUGAGACACAGACUCUGCUAGCUCUGUAUUGGACCAAGAGGCCAUGUGGGACAUAAGAAAACUUAAAACUACACCAUCCUCCCUGAGGCCCAAGCAGCACCCUGAGACACAAACACUGCCAGUGUCAAUUAGACCAAGAAUGGCUCCCUGAGACACAGACAACAUUUGCACCUGUUGGAGGAAAAGAUGGGUAGACAUCAGUGCAAGAAUACAUUCAAUGACACAAAGAUCAAUAUGACACCACAAGAACCUGGCAGCUCUACUACAGUAAGACCAGAACAUCUCAACAUAGAAGAAAACGAAGUGCUGCGGGAUGUUCUGUAUAUCAAAUAUGUUGCUAAUUAGUCAAUAAAUAAAACACUGAUUGGCCAUUGGCUAGGCAGGAAGUAUAGGCAGGACAGGAGGAGAAUAAAGCUGGGAAGUGGAAGGCUGAGUCAGAGACACUGCCAGCCGCCACGAUGACAAACAGCAUGUGAAGAUGCCGGUAAGCCACGAGCCACGUGGCAAGGUAUAGAUUAAUGAAAAUGGAUUAAUUUAAGCUGUAAGAA